GCAAGAUGACUGCAUUAAUAGCCAACGGAUGUGGACUCUUUGGACCACAAUGGCCAUUUGAUGACAUCCCAAGGGCAGUCACAAGGAAAGUUAAAGGA
Non-coding RNA from Microcebus murinus (gray mouse lemur), 98 nucleotides. Lineage: Eukaryota; Metazoa; Chordata; Mammalia; Primates; Cheirogaleidae. The record is from RefSeq and is a predicted model, not a curated record.